This 514-nucleotide ribosomal RNA is filed under the name uncultured bacterium. Its description in RNAcentral is "bacterial SSU rRNA". It matches the Rfam family "Bacterial small subunit ribosomal RNA", at positions 8 to 518 of the family's 1533-position model. The record is from RNAcentral.
AGAGUUUGAUCCUGGCUCAGGAUGAACGCUAGCUACAGGCUUAACACAUGCAAGUCGAGGGGUAGCAGGGUAGCAAUACCGCUGACGACCGGCGCACGGGUGAGUAACACGUAUCCAACCUUCCCAUAACUCAGGGAUAGCCUUUCGAAAGAAAGAUUAAUACCUGAUAGUACUUUUUCAAGGCAUCUUGAGAAAGUUAAAGAUUUAUUGGUUAUGGAUGGGGAUGCGUUCCAUUAGAUAGUUGGUGAGGUAACGGCUCACCAAGUCUUCGAUGGAUAGGGGUUCUGAGAGGAAGGUCCCCCACAUUGGUACUGAGACACGGACCAAACUCCUACGGGAGGCAGCAGUGAGGAAUAUUGGUCAAUGGGCGAGAGCCUGAACCAGCCAAGUAGCGUGAGGGAAUGAAGGUCCUAUGGAUUGUAAACUUCUUUUAUAGUAGAAUAAAGUGAUCCACGUGUGGAUUUUUGUAUGUAUACUAUGAAUAAGGAUCGGCUAACUCCGUGCCAGCCGCCGC